Molecule: long non-coding RNA, 986 nt
Filed under: Cyanistes caeruleus (blue tit)
Lineage: Eukaryota; Metazoa; Chordata; Aves; Passeriformes; Paridae
Description: lncRNA (ENSCCEG00000000428.1)
Source: RNAcentral
CACCUGGGACACACCUGAGCACACCUGGGACACACCUGAGCACACCUGGGGACACCUGAGAUACACCUGGGCACACCUAGGCACAUGUGGGACACACCUGGGCACACCUGGGACACACCUGGGCACACCUGGCCAUGCAGAUGUUGGAUUUUUCCCGCCAUUCCCGGUUUUUUUCUCACCUUUUCCCGUUUUUCCCGUUUUUCUCCCCAAACCGCAGCCGGAUUUCGUCGGCAUCAUCUGCACCCGCCUGAGCCCCAAGAGACUGAUCGAGAAAUGGGUGGACUUCGCCAGGCGGCUCUGCGAGCACCAGUACGGGAACGCGCCGCGCGUGCGCAUCAACGGCCACGUGGCCGCGCGGUUCCCGUUCAUCCCCCUGCCCCUGGACUACGUCCUGCCCGAGCUGCUCAAGAACGCCAUGAGGGCGACGAUGGAGUCGCACCUGGACACUCCGUACAACGUCCCCGACAUCGUGGUGACGAUCGCCAACAACGACAUCGACCUCGUCAUCCGGAUUUCGGACCGGGGGGGAGGAAUUCCCCACGAUUUGCUGGACAAGGUCACCGAGUACCAUUUCAGCACGGCCGAGGCGAGCGCGCAGGACCCGCGCCUGGGGGGGCCCUUCCGGGGCCUGAUGGAGCCCAACGGGCAGGCGGGGCCCAUGCACGGGUUCGGCUUCGGGCUGCCCACGUCCCGCGCCUACGCCGAGUACCUGGGCGGGUCCCUGGCGCUGCAGUCGCUGCAGGGCGUCGGCACCGACGUCUACCUGAGGCUGCGGCACAUCGACGGCAAGGCCGAGAGCUUCCGCAUCUAGGGGGGCUCGGGGGACCCCGGAAUCCCGGGAUCGGGGCGGGGAGAGCCGGGAGAACCUUCCAGAAUUGGGGUUGGGUCAUCAGAACCGUGGAGAACCUUCUAGAAUUGGGGUUGGGUCAUCAGAACCAUGGAGAACCUUCCAGAAUUGGGUUUGGGUCAUCAGAACCAAGAAGAAC